Sapajus apella (tufted capuchin) is the source of this 1295-nucleotide RNA transcript. It is a transcript of the gene named NAD-dependent protein deacylase sirtuin-5, mitochondrial pseudogene, with no coding region annotated. NCBI's taxonomy places the organism in Eukaryota, Metazoa, Chordata, Mammalia, Primates, Cebidae. The transcript has a single exon. The record is from RefSeq and is a predicted model, not a curated record.
GAAACGGUCUUCGGGUGUGCUGGUUGCCCCAGCCUACCUCAGGCAUUAGAACUACAAACAAACCCUGAUGCGACCUCUCCAGAUUGUCCCAAGUCGGUUGAUUUCCCAGCUGUAUUGUGGCCUUCAGCCUUCAGCCUCCACACGAAACUGGAUUUGCCUGAAAUUGGCUCAGCCAAGUUCAAGUACGGCAGAUUUUCGGAAGUGUUUUGCAAAAUCAAAGCACAUAGUCAUCAUCUCAGGGGCCGGUGUUAGUGCAGAAAGUGGGGUUCCGACUUUCAGAGGAGCUGGAGGUUAUCGGAGAAAAUGGCAGGCCCAGGACCUGGCGACUCCCCUGGCCUUUGCCCACAACCUGUCCCGGGUAUGGGAGUUCUACCACUACCGGCAGGAGGUCAUGGUGAGCAAGGAGCCCAACGCCAAGCACCGUGCUAUAGCUGAGUGCGAGGCCCGGCUGGGCAAGCAGGGCCGGCGAGUCGUGAUCAUCACCCAGAACAUCGAUGAACUGCACCACAAGGCUGGCACCAAAAACCUUCUGGAGAUCCAUGGUAGCUUAUUUAAAACUCGAUGUACCUCUUGUGGAGUUGUAGCUGAGAAUUACAGAAGUCCAAUUUGUCCAGCUUUAUCAGGAAGAGGUGCUCCAGAACCUGGAACUCAAAAUGCCAGCAUCCCAGUUGAGAAACUUCCCCGGUGUGAAGAGGCAGGCUGCGGGGGCUUGCUGCGACCUCACGUCGUGUGGUUUGGAGAAAACCUGGAUCUUGCCAUUCUGGAGGAGGUUGACAGAGAGCUCGCUCACUGUGACUUAUGUCUAGUGGUGGGCAUUUCCUCUGUGGUGUACCCAGCAGCCAUGUUUGCCCCCCAGGUGGCUGUAAGGGGCGUGCCAGUGGCUGAAUUUAACAUGGAGACCACCCCAGCUACGAACAGAUUCAGGUUUCAUUUCCAGGGACCCUGUGGAACGACUCUUCCUGAAGCCCUUGCCCCUCAUGAAAAUGAAACUAUUUCUUAAGUGUCCUGGGGAAGAAGGCAAUUAUAUCUAAGAACCAGGCCACACGCAGAGAAGAAAUGGUCUUAUGGCUGGUGAGCUGAAUAUUGAACAAUCUAAAAGUACCCUCUUAUUCCCUAGCUGGAAUCCAACCUGUUGAUAAGUGAUGGGGGUUUGGCAGUAGCAAGAGCACCCACAUUCAGAAGUUACAGGACUGUAAAGUUAAUGCAUAUUAUUUGGUUUGAACUGAAAAGUAAGAUAUCUUUGAUGUGUGUGGUUGAUUAUUGAGAGGGAAAAAUUUAGUAAAUUAGAUUGUCUU